This 303-nucleotide ribosomal RNA is filed under the name uncultured bacterium. RNAcentral describes it as "partial 16S ribosomal RNA". It matches the Rfam family "Bacterial small subunit ribosomal RNA", at positions 507 to 807 of the family's 1533-position model. The record is from RNAcentral.
AGCAGCCGCCACGGUAAUACGGAGGGUGCAAGCGUUAAUCGGAAUUACUGGGCGUAAAGCGCACGCAGGCGGUCUGACAAGUCAGAUGUGAAAUCCCCGGGCUUAACCUGGGAACUGCAUUUGAAACUGUCAGGCUGGAGUCUUGUAGAGGGGGGUGGAAUUCCAGGUGUAGCGGUGAAAUGCGUAGAGAUCUGGAGGAAUACCGGUGGCGAAGGCGGCCCCCUGGACAAAGACUGACGCUCAGGUGCGAAAGCGUGGGGAGCAAACAGGAUUAGAUACCCCUGUAGUCCCUGUCUCUUAUAC